Molecule: ribosomal RNA, 563 nt
Filed under: uncultured bacterium
Lineage: Bacteria
Description: bacterial SSU rRNA
Rfam family: Bacterial small subunit ribosomal RNA
Source: RNAcentral
CCUACGGGAGGCAGCAGUGAGGAAUUUUCCGCAAUGGGCGAAAGCCUGACGGAGCAAUACCGCGUGAAGGAUGAAGGCCUAUGGGUUGUAAACUUCUUUUCUCAGAGAAGAAUUUUGACGGUAUCUGAGGAAUAAGCAUCGGCUAACUCUGUGCCAGCAGCCGCGGUAAGACAGAGGAUGCAAGCGUUAUCCGGAUUAAUUGGGCGUAAAGCGUCUGUAGGUGGUUUAUCAAGUCUUUUGUCAAAGAUCGGGGCCUAACCCCGGGCAGGCAGAGGAAACUAAUAGACUUGAGUUCGGUAGGGGCAGAGGGAAUUCCCGGUGGAGCGGUGAAAUGCGUAGAGAUCGGGAGGAACACCAAAGGCGAAGGCACUCUGCUGGGCCACAACUGACACUGAGAGACGAAAGCGAGGGUAGCAAAUGGGAUUAGAUACCCCAGUAGUCCUCGCCGUAAACGAUGGAUACUAGGUGUUGGAUGAGUUCAAUCAUUCAGUACCGUAGCUAACGCGUGAAGUAUCCCGCCUGGGGAGUACGCUCGCAAGAGUGAAACUCAAAGGAAUUGACGG